GGAGUUAGCCGGUGCUUCUUCUGUGAGUGAUGUCCUUCCUGCCGGCUAUUAACCCGCAGGCCUUCUUCCUCACUGAAAGUGCUUUACAACCCUAAGGCCUUCUUCACACACGCGGCAUGGCUGGAUCAGGGUUGCCCCCAUUGUCCAAUAUUCCCCACUGCUGCCUCCCGUAGGAGUCUGGGCCGUGUCUCAGUCCCAGUGUGGCUGAUCAUCCUCUCAGACCAGCUACGGAUCGUCGCCUUGGUGAGCCGUUACCUCACCAACCAGCUAAUCCGACAUAGGCUCAUCCGAUAGCGCGAGGCCCGAAGGUCCCCCGCUUUCCCCCGUAGGGCGUAUGCGGUAUUAGCCUGGGUUUCCCCAGGUUAUCCCCCACUACCGGGCAGAUUCCUAUGCAUUACUCACCCGUCCGCCGCUCGCCACCAGGGAGCAAGCUCCCCGUGCUGCCGCUCGACUUGCAUGUGUUAGGCCUGCCGCCAGCGUUCAAUCUGAACCAAGAUCAAAUUCUGA
RNAcentral lists this ribosomal RNA (507 nucleotides) under uncultured bacterium. Its description in RNAcentral is "partial 16S ribosomal RNA". The record is from RNAcentral.